Molecule: long non-coding RNA, 522 nt
Filed under: Suricata suricatta (meerkat)
Lineage: Eukaryota; Metazoa; Chordata; Mammalia; Carnivora; Herpestidae
Description: lncRNA (ENSSSUG00005022656.1)
Source: RNAcentral
AGAAAAGAUAUAAACGGAGACAGAGAAUGCACCAUGGUUGUUCUUAAUGUGUUUGCAGACCUCUGUGACUUUCUAGGGCAGGAGCCUUGUGUAUCUUCUGGUCCAGCACACAGGAAGCACCAAUAAGAAGGAGCUUGAGUUCUAUCCCGUUCCUGACAAUUUUGCAUGUUUUCCCUAUCUGCCACGUUGGAGGCAAGCACACCUCUGCCCUCCUGAGGCCCUAUCUGUCGCAGACACACAGGAAGACUACAAUUCUAUGCAGUAACAUUAUUUAAUUGUGAGACCUUCUACCACUUUUGCAUCCCCUACAGAAUUAGCGAGAGAAGUGCAAUCUCUCAGCCUGGAGUAUUGAGUCACCGCAUGAAGGUGCAUGUUCUGGAGUUGCCUGGCUCUGGAAUCCAAUUUGCAUGAAUGAAAAAUAAACUGUUGUCAUGUUAAGCCAUUGAGGUUUUGGGGUCAUUUGUGGCAAUAGCAUAACCCAACCUUUUCUAAUAAAUGUGUUUUCUGAUGAAAAAUUUAAAU